RNAcentral lists this ribosomal RNA (846 nucleotides) under uncultured bacterium. RNAcentral describes it as "bacterial SSU rRNA". It matches the Rfam family "Bacterial small subunit ribosomal RNA", at positions 21 to 876 of the family's 1533-position model. The record is from RNAcentral.
GGCUCAGAACGAACGCUGGCGGCGUGCUUAACACAUGCAAGUCGAACGAGGUGCUUUUGUAGCAAUACGAGAGUAUCCUAGUGGCGAACGGGUGAGUAACGCGUUGGUGACCUACCCCAAAGUGUGGGAUAACAGUCCGAAAGGAUUGCUAAUACCGCAUGUGGUCUUCGGAUUUAGAAACUGAUGACUAAAGGAGCAAUUCGCUUUGGGAGGGACCUGCGUCCCAUCAGCUAGUUGGUGAGGUAACGGCUCACCAAGGCGACGACGGGUAGGGGACCUGAGAGGGUGGCCCCCCACAAUGGAACUGAAACACGGUCCAUACACCUACGGGUGGCAGCAGUAGGGAAUAUUGCUCAAUGGGCGAAAGCCUGAAGCAGCAACGCCGCGUGUGCGAUGAAGGCCUUCGGGUCGUAAAGCACUUUUCUGCGAGAUGAGAAAGGACAGUAUCGUAGGAAUAAGUCUCGGCUAACUACGUGCCAGCAGCCGCGGUAAAACGUAGGAGGCAAGCGUUAUCCGGAUUCACUGGGCGUAAAGCGCGUGCAGGCGGUGCGGUAAGUUGGGCGUGAAAUCUCCCGGCUCAACUGGGAUAGGUCGUCCAAUACUACCGUACUUGAGAGCAGAAGAGGAAAAUGGAAUUCCCGGUGUAGUGGUGAAAUGCGUAGAUAUCGGGAGGAACACCAGUGGCGAAGGCGAUUUUCUGGUCUGUUUCUGACGCUCAGACGCGACAGCUAGGGUAGUAAACGGGAUUAGAGACCCCGGUAAUCCUAGCCGUAAACGAUGUGAACUUGGCGUUGGUGGGUUAAACUCCAUCAGUGCCGUAGCAAACGCGAUAAGUUCACCGCCUGG